RNAcentral lists this ribosomal RNA (1440 nucleotides) under uncultured organism. Its description in RNAcentral is "SSU rRNA". It matches the Rfam family "Bacterial small subunit ribosomal RNA". The record is from RNAcentral.
GCUAGCUACAGGCUUAACACAUGCAAGUCGAGGGGCAGCAUUUCAGUUUGCUUGCAAACUGGAGAUGGCGACCGGCGCACGGGUGAGUAACACGUAUCCAACCUGCCGAUAACUCGGGGAUAGCCUUUCGAAAGAAAGAUUAAUACCCGAUGGUAUAAUCAGACCGCAUGGUCUUGUUAUUAAAGAAUUUCGGUUAUCGAUGGGGAUGCGUUCCAUUAGGCAGUUGGUGAGGUAACGGCUCACCAAACCUUCGAUGGAUAGGGGUUCUGAGAGGAAGGUCCCCCACAUUGGAACUGGGACACGGUCCAAACUCCUACGGGAGGCAGCAGUGAGGAAUAUUGGUCAAUGGGCGCAGGCCUGAACCAGCCAAGUAGCGUGAAGGAUGACUGCCCUAUGGGUUGUAAACUUCUUUUAUAUGGGAAUAAAGUUUUCCACGUGUGGAAUUUUGUAUGUACCAUAUGAAUAAGGAUCGGCUAACUCCGUGCCAGCAGCCGCGGUAAUACGGAGGAUCCGAGCGUUAUCCGGAUUUAUUGGGUUUAAAGGGAGCGUAGGUGGACAGUUAAGUCAGUUGUGAAAGUUUGCGGCUCAACCGUAAAAUUGCAGUUGAUACUGGCUGUCUUGAGUACAGUAGAGGUGGGCGGAAUUCGUGGUGUAGCGGUGAAAUGCUUAGAUAUCACGAAGAACUCCGAUUGCGAAGGCAGCUCACUGGACUGCAACUGACACUGAUGCUCGAAAGUGUGGGUAUCAAACAGGAUUAGAUACCCUGGUAGUCCACACAGUAAACGAUGAAUACUCGCUGUUUGCGAUAUACAGUAAGCGGCCAAGCGAAAGCAUUAAGUAUUCCACCUGGGGAGUACGCCGGCAACGGUGAAACUCAAAGGAAUUGACGGGGGCCCGCACAAGCGGAGGAACAUGUGGUUUAAUUCGAUGAUACGCGAGGAACCUUACCCGGGCUUAAAUUGCAUUUGAAUAUAUUGGAAACAGUAUAGCCGUAAGGCAAAUGUGAAGGUGCUGCAUGGUUGUCGUCAGCUCGUGCCGUGAGGUGUCGGCUUAAGUGCCAUAACGAGCGCAACCCUUAUCUUUAGUUACUAACAGGUCAUGCUGAGGACUCUAGAGAGACUGCCGUCGUAAGAUGUGAGGAAGGUGGGGAUGACGUCAAAUCAGCACGGCCCUUACGUCCGGGGCUACACACGUGUUACAAUGGGGGGUACAGAAGGCAGCUACCUGGUGACAGGAUGCUAAUCCCAAAAGCCUCUCUCAGUUCGGAUCGAAGUCUGCAACCCGACUUCGUGAAGCUGGAUUCGCUAGUAAUCGCGCAUCAGCCAUGGCGCGGUGAAUACGUUCCCGGGCCUUGUACACACCGCCCGUCAAGCCAUGAAAGCCGGGGGUACCUGAAGUACGUAACCGCAAGGAGCGUCCUAGGGUAAAACUGGUAAUUGG